CGCAGGCUCUUCAGUGAAGCCUGCCGAGGGCCCCAGGGAGCCCGGAGAAAUCAGCAGAGACAAGGGUGUCGCCGGGGCACCGGCUCAAAGGCGGCGGCACAGACAGCGGCAGCGGGAGUAACACUCAAGCACCUCGGAUCGCCAGGGAGACCCGUCCCGGCGGCCCUCGCGGCACACCGGAAGCGGCCGGCUGCGCGUGACCGCGUCCGACCUCUUGCGCAAGCGCAACCGCCUUGUCCCAGCCGAGAGGCGGUCCUAUAGAACCGCACCGCGCCUUAGCUGGGGGUUGGGGGAAAGUGGAGGGGACGGACUACUUCCGGCGAGAGGUCCCGGAAGGAGGAGCAACUUUGGCUGCCGGGGAUCGUACGCGCAGUAGGGAGCAGUACUAGGGUGGAGCAGUGUGGUGUUCAGUGCUUCAGGAGCUGAAAAAAUGAGGCCUUUGAUUGUCGGGAGGUCAACCAACCCACACUGCCUCAGGAACGUCCCUUCCCUCCCUUCUGGUUACCUAGCCAACCAGCAGGCCUGGAUGACAACCCGAUCUAUUUAAUGAGUGGCGGAUACAAGUGGAUGCCAGCAUGAAGCAGACAGAAGGCUGGAUCCUCCUGCUGAUGGACAGCUGCUCUGCUCACAGCAUGCUUUGGAAAGGGUACAGCCAUCAGGUUCCAGAUGCCAGCAAGAUACUGACCAGACUUCCCUGGACAGACGACCCCAUCUAUGUGUACUGGAGCUCCGCUUCCCCAGAGCCCCACCCUACUAAGGAAAGAGAGAGGCAGACUGGGAGUAUGGACCAACCAGUCAAUGCCCAUGUUCAGCGGGGAAGCAAUUACAGAAGCCAGACCUUCCACCCUCUGCAACCCACAACGACCCUGGAUCCUUACUCCCAGAGAGAUAGGGAAUGGGAAGGCUAUCAGGGGAGGGGAUGGGAUAUGGAGAUUGGGUUAUGGGAAUUGUGCAGAACUGUACCCCUCUUAUUUUAUGGUUGUGUUAAUGUCUCCUUUCUUCAAUAAUUAAAAAAAGAAUACAAAUUUUGGGUCUGGACGGUAGCACAGUGGGUUAAGCACACAUGGUGCGAAGCGCAAGGACUGGCAUAAGGAUCCCGGUUCGAGCCCCUGGCUUCCCACAUGUAGGGGAGUUGCUUCACAAGCAGUGAAGCAGGUCUGCAGGUGUCUGUCUUUCUCUCCCCUCUCUGUUUUCCCCUCCUCCAUUUCUCUUUUCCUAUCCAACAACGACAGCAAUGACAACAAUAAUAAUAUAACAGCAAUGAUAAACAACAAGGCAACAAAAGGGAAAAAAUAGCCUCCAGGAGCAGUGAAUUUGUAAUGCAGGCACUGAGCCCCAGCAAUAACCUUGGAGGCAAAGAAAAAAAAAAAGAAUACAAAUUUCAUAAAUAGGAAAUUGCACAUGAGCUUUAAGUAAUAUUAUGAUUCUAGUCCUCUGGAAAGAAAUCAGGAAAUUAGGGGUCGGGUGGUGGUGCACCAGGUUAAGCACACAUAGUAUGAAGUAUAAGGACCUGAUCAAGGAUCCCAGUUUGAAGCCCCCGGCUCCCCAACUGCAGGGGGGUAGGUUGCUUUACAAGUGGUGAAGCAGGUCUGCAGGUAUCUGUCUGUUUCUCCUAAUAUCUUCCCCUCUCUCAAUUUCUCUCUGCUUCAUCAAAAAAAAAAAAAAUUGAAAAAUGGCCACAAGAGCAGUGGCUUCGUAGUGCAGGCACCGAGCCCCAGCAAUAACCCUGGAGGCAAAAAAAAUAAAAAGAAAGAGAGGAAGAAAGGAAGAAAGAAAUAAAGAAAGAGAGAAAGAAAGAAAGAAAAAUCAGGAAAUUUCCUUAAAUGGAAUCUGACUAAUUGGUGAGUCCUCUUUUGGUUAGCUUGGUGGUUUCCAAAAUUGCCUGCACUUUCUGGUCACUUGAGUUUUACUUCCAGGGACUGGUUGGUGACUCACCUGCUAGAGAACACACAUCACCAUGCAUGAGGACUUGGGUUCAAUGCCCUAGUCCUCAUCUGCAAUGGGGAAACUUCACAAGGAGUGGAGCAGUGCUGCAGGUCCCCCUCCCUCUCUAUUUCUGUCUCUCACCCUCUAUCUAAAAAAAUGGCUCUAAAAAAUGGUUGCCAAAAGUGGUGAAGCUGUGUAGGCACCGAGUCCCAGUGAUAACCUUGGUGGCAAUAAUAAUUGUCAGGCAUUAAGCCAGCUCCCCCUGCUCCACCCUGCAUUGCUGCUACUAUGGCCUAUUUACAUAAUCAUUGUUUUCCUGAAAGAUCCCCACCCAUUCCAUUCCUUUAAUCUAUCUUCUUCAAGACCCGCCUUGCCUGAGGGUAACAUUAAUCCCACCAGUUAAAACCAUCGCAACAGUUGCUAGGGAAGUUUAUACUUUCUCAGCCCACUUUUGCCUUUCUCCACCCCCCUUCCUAGCCAUUUCCGUUUCCUACUUGCCACUUCCAGCUCUAUCCUAUAAAAGAGUUGUCUCUCUGAUCAAAUAAAGACAUUGCAUUACCACCCUGCCACAA
Molecule: long non-coding RNA, 2498 nt
Organism: Erinaceus europaeus (western European hedgehog)
Lineage: Eukaryota; Metazoa; Chordata; Mammalia; Eulipotyphla; Erinaceidae
Exons: 3
Source: RefSeq, a predicted model, not a curated record